AGGACGAACGCUGGCGGCGUGCUUAACACAUGCAAGUCGAGCGACAGCAUUCCUUCGGGGGUGUAUGGAGCGGCGAACGGGUGAGUAACACGUGGGCAACCUGCCCUCAGCUCUGGGAUAACUCCGGGAAAUCGGGGCUAAUACCGGAUAUGAUCACUUCGGGCAUCCGAUGGUGGUGGAAAGUUUUUCGGCUGAGGAUGGGCCCGCGGCCUAUCAGCUUGUUGGUGGGUAAUGGCCUACCAAGGCGACGACGGGUA
RNAcentral lists this ribosomal RNA (257 nucleotides) under uncultured soil bacterium. RNAcentral describes it as "partial 16S ribosomal RNA". It matches the Rfam family "Bacterial small subunit ribosomal RNA", at positions 26 to 285 of the family's 1533-position model. The record is from RNAcentral.